RNAcentral lists this transfer RNA (86 nucleotides) under Nocardioidaceae bacterium. RNAcentral's name for it is "tRNA-Leu". It matches the Rfam family "tRNA". From Rfam's summary of the family: Transfer RNA (tRNA) molecules are approximately 80 nucleotides in length. Their secondary structure includes four short double-helical elements and three loops (D, anti-codon, and T loops). Further hydrogen bonds mediate the characteristic L-shaped molecular structure. tRNAs have two regions of fundamental functional importance: the anti-codon, which is responsible for specific mRNA codon recognition, and the 3' end, to which the tRNAs corresponding amino acid is attached (by aminoacyl-tRNA synthetases). tRNAs cope with the degeneracy of the genetic code in two manners: having more than one tRNA (with a specific anti-codon) for a particular amino acid; and 'wobble' base-pairing, i.e. permitting non-standard base-pairing at the 3rd anti-codon position. The record is from RNAcentral. Lineage: Bacteria; Bacillati; Actinomycetota; Actinomycetes; Propionibacteriales; Nocardioidaceae. RNAcentral also lists the same sequence under 1 other name.
GUCCGGGUGGCGGAAUUGGCAGACGCGCUAGCUUGAGGUGCUAGUCCCCGUAUUAGGGGGUGGGGGUUCAAGUCCCCCCUCGGACA